Long non-coding RNA from Thunnus maccoyii (southern bluefin tuna), 1284 nucleotides. RefSeq lists it as uncharacterized. Lineage: Eukaryota; Metazoa; Chordata; Actinopteri; Scombriformes; Scombridae. The transcript is spliced from 2 exons. The record is from RefSeq and is a predicted model, not a curated record.
CAGCUGGACCCCCAACUCUGUGAUGGUCACUUUGUCAUCCACCACUGUGAUAGUCUUCUCUGCCAGGAUUGAGUCUGACAAAGGAGACAACACCUAGGAGACACCCCGGGUUGGAGAGGUCUUUCCCAGGAGAAAUCAGCAACGAAAGCAACUAAAGCUGAACAGAGAAAGGAGCACUACCUAUAGAAACUCAAACUUCAUCAACAGAAAAGCUGAAAGCAGUAAUAAGUCACCACUGGUCACACCGCUUGAUUGACAAGUGAAGUGGAAUGCAAAAACAUCACAUCAAUGAGCACUUAGCAGUGAAGAUGUCACAGACUUGAAAAAGCAGAUUACCACAAGUUAUAGGUGAUUUAAGAAAAUGUCUUUGCAAGUGUUUCAUCUAACAUAAAAGGCUCACAAGCCCCUGCGCAAUAUGCAAAACGAUACACAAAACCUACUUUUUAUUUUAUCCGUUUUCUCAGGCUGUGUAGAUCAAACAACAGCUCUACUUGGCUGCCAUCCAACCCCCAUAUCUCCUGUAGGUAAGAAUCCAUUCCCUUUGAUUAAUACUGGUAAUCCAGAAGAGAAGCACACUUUAACCCCAAAACAGAGGCAGGAAGUCAUACUGUGUUUAUGAUGAAUGCCAUCCAAAGUACAGAGUGACUUUAUGCAUAUCCUUAUAAAGGUCUCCUCAUGCAUCAGUCUGCAUCGUGCGUGGCACAGGUAGUCACAGCCGUCAGACCUUUGCACUUGUCAUGUUUUCCGGUUUUUGCUUGUUUCAUCAAAGCUUGGGUUUUUUUUGCGAAUGUGAAGACACGUCUGCACACAGACAGAUGAGUCCUCAGAUGCCAGGGAACGGAUCCCACUCACACAGAUGUCAUUAGGAGACUGAUAUUCAUCCAGUUAGCCUAAAGAGCCCAACAAACAAAAGGCAGAGGGGGAGAACCCACUCACUGUCGCCAGCUGCUGAGAGCCCACAAUACAGGCUGUGACACACCAGCAAGCACCUGCCUGUACUAGACAAAAGGAGGUACUAGUCGAACCGUAGCAUCGACAGCGGCAUCUGUUAUUGUCCCUGGAAUACAUAAUAUGUUCAUGUUCCUACCGUGUAUUAUUCACCUUUCACAGGUUUGUUCUAGCAUGCAUUUAUGUUGACAAAAAGAUGCACAACAGUGAAGUUCAGAAUUGUGUACUACAUGGUGAUUUUAUUUAUGCAAGACAAUAUAUGGUUUCAAUAUUCAAGUAAUUGAAAUGUUUCCAAUUUGAUGAUACUAUAACAGUAAUAAAAUCGUUACCACAAUA